AAAGAUUAAGCCAUGCAUGUCUAAGCACAUGCCUUAAUACGGUGAAGCCGCGAAUAGCUCAUUACAACAGCCACCGUUUACUAGAAAUAGUUAUCCUACUUGGAUAACUCUGGCAAUUCUAGAGCUAAUACAUGCAAUAAAGCUCCGCCCUGCGAAGGAACGAGCGCAUUUAUUAGAAUAAAAACCAAUCGGGUCUCGGCCCGUAAUCUGGUGAAUCUGGAUAACUUUGCCAAUCGCACGGUCCUAGUACCGGCGAUAUAUCUUUCAAGUGUCUGCCUUAUCAACUUUCGUUGGUAGGUUAUACGCCUACCAAGGUAGUAACGGGUAACGGAGAAUAAGGGUUCGACUCCGGAGAGGGAGCCUGAGAAACGGCUACCACAUCCAAGGAAGGCAGCAGGCGCGCAAAUUACCCACUUCCAGAACGGAGAGGUAGUGACGAAAAAUAACGAGACAGUCCUCUUCGAGGUCUGUCAUCGGAAUGGGUACAAUUUAAAUCCUUUAACGAGGAUCUAUUGGAGGGCAAGUCUGGUGCCAGCAGCCGCGGUAAUUCCAGCUCCAAUAGCGUAUAUUAAAGUUGUUGCGGUUAAAACGCUCGUAGUUGGAUCUGCGGCCUCGACGAACGGUCCCCCGAAAGGGUGGUCACUGUCUCUCCUAGCCUAAAUUCGAGUCGUCUCUAGGUGCUCUUUACCGAGUGCCUAGAGUGACUAGAACGUUUACUUUGAAAAAAUUAGAGUGCUUAAAGCAGGCGAAAUAGCCUGAAUAGGGUGCAUGGAAUAAUGGAAUAGGACCUCGGUUCUAUUUUGUUGGUUUUCGGAACCCGAGGUAAUGAUUAAGAGGAACAGGCGGGGGCAUUCGUAUUCCGGCGCUAGAGGUGAAAUUCUUGGACCGCCGGAAGACGGACGACUGCGAAAGCAUUUGCCAAGAAUG
Molecule: ribosomal RNA, 927 nt
Filed under: Sectonema barbatoides
Lineage: Eukaryota; Metazoa; Nematoda; Enoplea; Dorylaimida; Aporcelaimidae
Description: SSU rRNA
Rfam family: Eukaryotic small subunit ribosomal RNA
Source: RNAcentral